UCGAACGAAUCCCAUCUGGGUAACUGGGUGGGGGAAGUGGCGAAAGGGGCAGUAAGGCAUGGGUAACCUACCCCGGGGACGGGGAUAGCCCUCCUAACGGAGGGGUAAUACCUGGCGAUCUGGCGAGGAGACAUCUCCUUGCCAGGAAAUGAAUUUCGCCUCGGGAGGGGCCCAUGUGGUAUUAGCUUGUUGGUGAGGUAACGGCUCACCAAGGCCAAGAUGCCUAGCAGGUGUGAGAGCACGACCUGCGCCACUGGCACUGAGACACUGGCCAGACUCCUACGGGAGGCUGCAGUCGAGGAUCUUCGGCAAUGGGCGCAAGCCUGACCGAGCGACGCCGCGUGUGCGAUGAAGGCCUUCGGGUUGUAAAGCACUGUCGAGGGGGAGGAACGCCCGCAAGGGUUUGACCUAUCCCUGGAGGAAGCACGGGCUAAGUUCGUGCCAGCAGCCGCGGUAAGACGAACCGUGCGAACGUUGUUCGGAAUCACUGGGCUUAAAGGGCGCGUAGGCGGGUGGUUAAGUCAGGGGUGAAAUCCUCCCGCUCAACGGGAGAACAGCUUUUGAUACUGGCCAUCUUGAGGGGGGUAGGGGCAUGUGGAACUUCCGGUGGAGCGGUGAAAUGCGUAGAUAUCGGAAGGAACGCCGGUGGCGAAAGCGACGUGCUGGACCCUUUCUGACGCUGAGGCGCGAAAGCCAGGGGAGCAAACGGGAUUAGAUACCCCGGUAGUCCUGGCCCUAAAC
This 741-nucleotide ribosomal RNA is filed under the name uncultured Planctomycetota bacterium. RNAcentral describes it as "bacterial SSU rRNA". It matches the Rfam family "Bacterial small subunit ribosomal RNA", at positions 62 to 807 of the family's 1533-position model. Lineage: Bacteria; Pseudomonadati; Planctomycetota. The record is from RNAcentral.